GUCGAAGGGGCCCGAGGCCCCGAGAAGGGCAGGAUGCGAUGCUGGGUGUGUGACCUCAGCCAUGGAAGGGCCACCUGCCACCGGGGGGCUGGGCCGUCGGGCCUUUGGUUGUGGAGGGAAAAGAGUGGCCACUUGCUGGAGCUGGGAACGUGCAGUGAUGAGCACUAGGACAAGAGGACCGUGACAAACAGACAUAGAAGGACAGCAUUGAGUUCAUUGCCUCAAAAUUGCUGCGCUCUCCUUCUGCCAGUGCCCAGAGAUGCUCCCCACACCACACUGCACUGCUGGGGGAUGUUAGAGGUGAUUCAAGACAGUUUUUCCUACCUCUUCAGUGCCUCUUUCAGCAAUAUGAAGUUAAAACCAGCCACACACUAUCUCAUGGCAGAAGACACCACUUAACCCAGGCAUCCCACAUGGAGGCUGUAUGUACUGGCAGAUUUUUAAUGACCAGGACCACUAUGGAUCAUAGAACAACUUGGAAGCUAGUUCUUUUUUUAAGCAUUGACAUCCAUCAAUCUUUCGCCUUUACCUAAUGCUGCAUUCAAAAGAAAUAUGUGGAGCAGCAGCAAAUUAAAGAAGACCAAAAUCUGAACCACUGCCAGGCUCUCUCCAUGGCCUCCUUUUCUUAUAGAGGUUGUCAGGGGAACAUUCAGCACAGCACGCCUGACUCCAGUGAACUCGGAGUUAAUGGACCCUGAAUGAGACUUCAGUACAUGAAGUACCUUCUAUCCUGGAAUAAGAUGAUGGACAUAUUAAUAGCACACAUACAGCUUUUGAGGCUGAAGAUUCAGGUCAAGUUAAUUGCUUUAAAAACCCAGUAAUUUAACCUACAGAAAAACAAUCACAUUGGUAAUAGCAGUCUUAAAUAUAGUUUUGUGUACUUUAAGACUUUAGUUAGUGUUUUUACACAAGAUGAGAGAAACUCAUGACAAAUACAAUGGCAGUGAAGAUUAAACAUCAGUAAAAGAAAAAGCACAUGCAAGAGAGAACAAAAAUGCUAAUAACCAAUUACAUCAGAUCCAGGAGAAAGUCAGCUAUAUAUUCUUGUUGAGAUUGAAACAAAAAUGUGAAGAUAAUGUAAUGGAGUUAAGAAGUGGUCAAUAGUUGAAUGCAUCCUAGGCCACUUAACAAAACCAGAAACUCUCAGCCGUAGGAGAAUGCAGAUGCCCUUUCUUUACCAAACAAGGGGAGAGCAAGGAAACAAGAAUGGAUCACAGGAUCUCAUCCUUAAAAAAGUACCCAUGGGAGAUGUGGACGUUCCUUGUCGGGAAACCAUCAGUACUAACUCUAUUUCAUGUACACAAAAUGAGAAUUUUGCCACAAACUUCUUGAACCGGAGAUAGUAGACAUAUUCAGCCUCUGGAUAGCCUACAUUAUAAAGAACAGAGAUUCAUCCCAUCUCCUUCUUUCCCCAACAAAAAUAUAAUCAUAUGAAAAGAAGUCAAGAGAACAAUUCUCCAACCUGAGAUUUCCUGUAUUUUUUAUUUUAUCUCCCUAUUGUUUCUUUUAUUUGUCGUUGUUUUCAUUCCAGUUUCAACCAGAGUCACAUUUGCUUCCUAAUCCAGUGCUUGUAAAUUUCUGUCUUCUUGGAUAAUUGUUGUUAAUAAUUGCUGUGGAUGAUUCUCUAACUUAGGAAGGUAUCUAGAUGAACCGUUUCUUUUUUCUGUGACCUGGUGCUGAAGGGCAUGUGUUGCCUGGGAAGUCAAUAAAAUGAGAUGAGCAUUAUAUCCUCAAUUGCUUUUCAAACAGUCCUUUGAUAUGCAACAGUCCUUUGCCCCUUUCUGAAUCAGCCCAUCCUCCAAGUGUUCCCAGGUCACAGCGCUGUCAGUACCCAUGGGACAGCAUAAAAGGAAGAGGUGUGUUACUUCUUUUCUUCCCUUGAAGUUUUUUUCUUUGGUUGGUUUAACCAUUAAAGAUAAGGUUUGAACUUAAUGAGCCUUUUAUUCGAUGUAAGUGAUGUUUCAUUUUUACAUGAUUCAUCUAGCCUCAGAUUAAUUAAGUAUAAUAUUUUCUAUUUAAUUACUGGGCAUAUUUAGGUAAUUAAUUUUUGAAGAGAAGAAGUGGUUUUGUGUAGGCUACUUUAUCUCAUUUUUUAAUUGACUGAAUUUUUUUUCUCUGUUAGACUGAAGAAUAUUCUAUAUAAUUUUCAUCAAUGAGUUACGAUAAUUUUCUGUAAAAAACUUUCACAAUAAGUUUUGUUCCAUGAGCAGGUGGCUCCAAAUCCUUCAUCAUUAACUCUGGUACCCUGCUUCCUUUCCCUCAAUUCAUUCCUAUGGCUUCUUGGGAAAUUCCUUAGAAGCAAUUGACUGAGAAAGUAGAGACUCAAGCCUGGUUUACAAAUGGUUCUGCAUAGUAUGCUGGUAACACUUGAAAGUCAGUAGGUAAAGCACUACCAGGCCACUCAAAGUCCUCUCUGAGAAUUGGAGGUGGCCCCUUUUCCCUCUGAGCCUCUACACAGCACCAGCCUUCAACCUGGAUGCCCAGAAGCUCUAAGACCUACUCUGGGUCUUCAGUGUUCUCAGGAGGCAUGGGAGGCAAGAGGUUUUUCCAGAGGCUUUGUAGGCAGAGCUCAUAGGCCCCUGAGAAAUUAUCCAGAGAGAAAGGAAAAGAGGCAGACUUGUAUGCUUACGAGGACACACGGGGUGAGGACACACGGGGUUCCCUCUAAGGACUUCCACAAAUAACUGGAGGCCCUUGAAGAAAAGACAGAUGCUCCAUCACUAACACAGAAGAAAGUUUUCAAUGCAAUGGCUGCCAACUGCAUCAUUAUUUCACAGAGCCAUGUCACUGCCCAAUAACUAUUUCCUAUGAUCUCUUGAUUGAGAUGUCUCACACCAUUCAUGCAGCUGGGCCACUCCCUCUCCUAAUUAAAUACAUACAUGUUCUCAGCAUCUUUCACAAUUCCAGGAUAGCUUUACUUCUAAAACCGACAAAGAUUGAAAAAAGGAAAAAUAAAAACAAAAAAACACAGAUAUUUUUCCCCUAGUACUGGUGAAGGUAUUUGGCAAUGAGAUGGAAAUAUAAACUGGAAUAAUGUUUCCAAAGAAUAAUUUAACCAUCAAAUCAAAAGCCUCAAGAGUGUGCCAGACAUUGGCCCUGUAACUUCAUUUAUGGGAAAUGUCUUAAGACAGACUUACAAAGAUUGUCAUCACAGCCUUGUUUGUAAUGAAAGACUCGGAAUCCACCUAACUUCCCACAAGCAAAAACUGGACAUUCCUGACAGGGAAACUUUGGAACCACUCAAUAUGAUGAAGAAUAUCCAACAAUUUGUUGCAUGGAACAAUGUCAUGUAGAAUGUUAAGAAAGGAAAAACAAGUUAAAGAGUAUUCAAUUUCAUAUUUAUAAAGAUAUGUAUAUAUGAGUAAUAAUAUAAACAUCCUCACUGGAAUAACACAUUCUGAAUAUCAAUUUGCCUUGUGAGCAGCACCAUGCAUAGACUUACAGAAUUCUUAUCCAUCAGCAUGGUAUUCUGCACAAUAAUGCUUCUGAUCUGCAACUUACUUCACAGCAAUAAGUACAGCAAUGGGCUUAUAUGCAUAGAAUUAACUGGUCUUAUCACAUUACCUGGAAGUAGAUGGCCUAAUUGCGCAGUGGGAUGGUUUACUAGGGACUCAGUUAUGGUACCAGUUUGAGCAGAAUGCUCAAAGAGAAUGACAUUCUGUAUUACAAGAUGUAGCAUAUUUUUUUGAAUUGGAGAUCACUAUAUGAUGUUUUCUCCCUCCAGAGGCAGAAUACUCGAGUCUAAGGAUCAAGGUGUAGAAGGUGGUCCAUCUCCUUUCAAAAUUAUUCCUAAUAGCCAACUUGCAAAAGCAUUGCUUUUUGUCCAAGAGAUCUACUGGUUUUGAGGUCUUGUUUCCUAAAGGGUGAGAAUUCACUGCAUUGGAAAAUGAGACUGCCAUCUGGACAUUUUGAUCUUUUUAUGCCAAGAGAGAGAAAAUGAAAUUACUCUGCCUGGUGGAGGAAUUGAUUCUUAUUAUUGAGGAAAAAAUCCAUUGCUGCUACCAACGGAGGGUAAGGAAGACUGUGUCUAGAACCCAUAAUGGUUCUCAGGGCUAAUGCUUAGUACUCCCCAUUCUCAACAUUAAAAGUUAAUGAAAAACUAUAGUAAUCAAAAUAGAAUUUUUGAGCAUCAAUACUAUACAGGAUUUGGGCCACUCCACUAGAAAAGGAACCCUGACCAGCUUUGGUUAUGGCUGAAGGAAAAGGGAAUGUGAAAUGAUUAGUAAAGGAGAAAAAAAACAAAAACAAAGAUAAACUACAACCAUGUUACCAGUUUCAAAACUGAGCAUUAUAGUUUAUUUGCAUAUUAUAUUAUUUGUAAUAAAAUAAAACUACAGUAAUCAAAAUGCACUUUUUGAGUAUCAGUACCGUAUAGGGAUGAGGAUUUGGGCCACUUCACUAGAAAGGGAACCUUGACCAGCUUUGGUUAUGGGUGAAGGAAAGGUGAAAUGUGAAAUGAUUAGUAAAAGAGAAAAAAAAGAGCUAUCAACUACAGCCUUGUUACCAAUUUCAAAACUGAGGAUUAUUGUUUAUUUGCAUAUUUAUAUUAUUUAUAUUUAAUAAACAUUUUCCUUCUUCAUUUUUAUUUUAUGUACAAGUUGUUUCAAAAUAACUUUAUAUAGUUUUUAGGUAGUAGAAUAUUUAAUGCUGCCGUAACUGAAUUUGACCAGUAAUUAAUAUAGCCAACAAAGGAAUCCAACAGACUGCUACAACUGUGUGCAUCUUCCUGAUAGAAAAAAAGGAUAGCUUAUUCAAUUAUAUGGAGGAUGGCUUCCCCUUUUUAGGUGGAAACACAGAGUCACAUUAUUGUACAGAAGUUCAAAAAUGUGUAGAAGGGUGCACUGGAAGCUGAGAGUCUAAAGGAACAGUCUGUAUCAUGUAACAGUUGAUUGCCCCUUGGCUCAAAGCUACAUUUUUUUCACUCUUCCUGGUUAUGCUAGACCUGUACCUGUGAACAUUUAUUAUUUGCCAGCUGACAGGAUAUUUAAGGACACUGAAGAGUCACUGCAAGAGGUAGAGUUUCAUCUUCUUCCCACAGCAUGGCUACCCGAGGCACACCACCUCUAGGGAAUUUCCCAUGUACCUCCGUAGUUAGUUUCCUACUGGCCAACCGUGUCCCACGGCACCUCAACACACUUCACUGAUCGUGAAUAGUGGUUUGUUGCUGUUGCUACUUGUUAUUUUGGGAGAGCUGGAUUGGGGCCCCCAGGUAUAUUCUCCUCAGUAAGGUUUGAAUCUCAGCCUUGGGGGUUGAAUGGAGAGGAUUUUCCACAACAAUUCCUUCCGUAGGUAUUUUCUCUCAUCCUUCAAUAUUCCACUUUCAGUCUUGCAUAGAACAACUAGACAGAAGAUCACUAAGAAAAUUGGAGGCUUGGACAAUACUACAAACCAACUAGGUGUAAUAAACAUCUAUAGAACACUCGCCCAACAUACUCUUCUCAAGCGUGCACGGAGCAGUCUGCAGGAAAGGUAAUGUUGUUUCAUGAACAAGAAAGACUCAACACAUUUUGAAGGACUGAAAUCAUACUUUUAAAAAAUUGAAAUCAUAUAUAGUAUGUUUUCUGAUCACACUGGCUUAAAAUUAAAAGUCAAUAACAAAAGGAGGUUUUGAA
Molecule: long non-coding RNA, 5612 nt
Organism: Homo sapiens (human)
Lineage: Eukaryota; Metazoa; Chordata; Mammalia; Primates; Hominidae
Product: long intergenic non-protein coding RNA 2199
Source: Ensembl